Molecule: long non-coding RNA, 392 nt
Filed under: Nicotiana benthamiana
Lineage: Eukaryota; Viridiplantae; Streptophyta; Magnoliopsida; Solanales; Solanaceae
Description: long non-coding RNA (NBEN_LNC029326)
Source: RNAcentral
AGAUUACCAGAUAAGUUGUUGCCUUCAAGCCUUAUUCUUUUUAGCUCUGUGCAAUUCUUCAAGCAAUCUGGUAACUUCCCACUGAAUUUGUUACCAUUUAUUGUGAACUCCUCAAGAGCAAACUGGCUACAUAAUCCAGGUGGCAGUUCACCAGUGAAGCUGUUAUUUGAAAAGCUGACACCGGACAAUUGAGGACUGUUCUUUCCAAACCAUUUAUUGUCAACUCCUCAAGAGCAAACUCGCUACAUAAUCCAGGUGGCAGUUCACCAGUGAAGCUGUUAUUUGAAAAGCUGACACCGGACAAUUGAGGACUGUUCUUUCCAAAGUCCUCAGGAACACUGCCUGAGAUAUUAUUACUAUAUACAGAAAAAAGCUUCAGACUACUGAGGUCA